This 417-nucleotide ribosomal RNA is filed under the name uncultured Archaeorhizomycetes. RNAcentral describes it as "eukaryotic LSU rRNA". It matches the Rfam family "Eukaryotic large subunit ribosomal RNA", at positions 176 to 592 of the family's 3401-position model. The record is from RNAcentral. Lineage: Eukaryota; Fungi; Ascomycota; Archaeorhizomycetes.
CGGGCUCAAUUUCCUUGGAACAGGAGGUCAUGGAGGGUGAGAACCCCGUCUAUGGCUCGGAUCUUGCCCGAGAUGAGUGUCGUUUCCUCGAAGAGUCGGGUUGUUUGGGAAUGCAGCUCAAAAUGGGUGGUAAAUUUCAUCUAAGGCUAAAUAUUGGCGAGAGACCGAUAGCAAACAAGUAGAGUGAUCGAAAGAUGAAAAGUACUUUGAAAAGAGAGUGAAACAGUAUGCGAAAUUGUUGAAAGGGAAGCGUUUGGCAUCAGCCCAUGGCCUCUGGCGAUCAUCCAGGCUUCUGCCUGGUGCACUUUUCAGUGGCUGGGCCAGCGUCAGCUUUGCCUGCCGGAGAAAGGCCUCGGGGAUGUGGCUCCCUCUGGGGAGCGUUAUAACCCUUGGCGUAAUGCGGUGCGGCGGGGCUGA